UGCGGAAGGAUCAUUACCGAGUUGAUUCGGGCUCCGGCCCGAUCCUCCCACCCUUUGUGUACCCACCUCUGUUGCUUUGGCGGGCCGCGGUCCUCCGCGGCCGCCCUCCGUCCGGGGGGUGGCCAGCGCCCGCCAGAGGACCAUCGAACUCCGGUCAGUGAACGUUGCCGUCUGAAAAACAAUCAAUAAACUAAAACUUUCAACAACGGAUCUCUUGGUUCUGGCAUCGAUGAAGAACGCAGCGAAAUGCGAUAAGUAAUGUGAAUUGCAGAAUUCAGUGAAUCAUCGAAUCUUUGAACGCACAUUGCGCCCCUCGGUAUUCCGAGGGGCAUGCCUGUUCGAGCGUCAUUACAACCCUCAAGCUCUGCUUGGUGUUGGGCACCGCCCUUCCGCGGGCGCGCCUCAAAGACCUCGGCGGUGGCGUCUUGCCUCGAGCGUAGUAGAAAACACCUCGCUUUGGAGCGCACGGCGCCGCCCGCCGGACGAACCUUUUGAACUUUCUCAAGGUUGACCUCGGAUCAGGUAGGGAUACCCGCUGAACUUAA
This 545-nucleotide ribosomal RNA is filed under the name Neoscytalidium dimidiatum. Its description in RNAcentral is "eukaryotic LSU rRNA". The stretch from base 195 to 348 matches the Rfam family "5.8S ribosomal RNA". The record is from RNAcentral. Lineage: Eukaryota; Fungi; Ascomycota; Dothideomycetes; Botryosphaeriales; Botryosphaeriaceae.